Molecule: ribosomal RNA, 512 nt
Filed under: uncultured bacterium
Lineage: Bacteria
Description: bacterial SSU rRNA
Rfam family: Bacterial small subunit ribosomal RNA
Source: RNAcentral
GACGAACGCUGGCGGCGUGCCUAACACAUGCAAGUCGAGCGGGGUUGAAGCGAGAGGUAACUCGAGCUUCUACCUAGCGGCGGACGGGUGAGUAACGCGUGGGCAACCUGCCUCAAGGUUUGGGAUAACAGCCCGAAAGGGCUGCUAAUACCGGAUAUGCCUAUGGCCUCGCAUGGGGCUAUGAGCAAAGGGGAAACCCGCCUUGAGAUGGGCCCGCGUCCCAUCAGCUAGUUGGUGAGGUAACAGCUCACCAAGGCGACGACGGGUAGCCGGCCUGAGAGGGUGACCGGCCACACUGGGACUGAGACACGGCCCAGACUCCUACGGGGGGCAGCAGUGGGGGAUCUUGCACAAUGGGCGAAAGCCUGAUGCAGCGACGCCGCGUGAGCGAAGAAGGCCUCGGUUGUAAGACUCUGUCUGAGGGACGGAACAAAAUAGACGGUACCGUCCGGACGGAAGGACCGACGGCGUAACUAACGUGCCACGCAGCCGCGGUAAACGGUAACGACGUG